AACGAACGCUGGCGGCGUGGAUAAGACAUGCAAGUCGAACGGGACAUUGUGAGUAGCAAUACGAGCAGUGUCUAGUGGCGAACGGGUGCGUAACACGUGGAUACAUUCCGGGAAGCGGGGGAUAGCCCAGGGAAACUUGGAUUAAUACCGCAUGUGGUCGAAAGACUAAAGGCAGGGACCGCAAGGCCUGCCACUUCCCGAUUGGUCCGCGGCCUAUCAGCUAGUUGGCGGGGUAAAAGCCCACCAAGGCUACGACGGGUAGCUGGUCUUAGAGGACGACCAGCCACACUGGAACUGAGACACGGUCCAGACACCUACGGGUGGCAGCAGUCGAGAAUCUUUCACAAUGGGGGCAACCCUGAUGGAGCGACGCCGCGUGGAGGAUAAGGUCUUCGGAUUGUAAACUCCUGUCAUGUGUGAACAAGGUUGUCUUGUUAAUAGCGAGGCAAAUUGAUGGUAACACAAGAGGAAGAGACGGCUAACUCUGUGCCAGCAGCCGCGGUAAU
This 506-nucleotide ribosomal RNA is filed under the name uncultured bacterium. Its description in RNAcentral is "bacterial SSU rRNA". It matches the Rfam family "Bacterial small subunit ribosomal RNA", at positions 29 to 524 of the family's 1533-position model. The record is from RNAcentral.